RNAcentral lists this ribosomal RNA (422 nucleotides) under Fusobacteriota bacterium. RNAcentral describes it as "Fusobacteria bacterium partial 16S ribosomal RNA". It matches the Rfam family "Bacterial small subunit ribosomal RNA", at positions 355 to 776 of the family's 1533-position model. The record is from RNAcentral. Lineage: Bacteria; Fusobacteriati; Fusobacteriota.
UGGGGGAUUUUGCACAAUGGGCGCAAGCCUGAUGCAGCGACGCCGCGUGAGGGAUGAAGGCCUUCGGGUUGUAAACCUCUUUCGCUGGGUUGAAAGGCCAUGCUUUGGGUGUGGUUGAUUUGAACUGGUAAAGAAGUACCGGCUAACUACGUUCCAGCAGCCGCGGUAAUACGUAGGGUACUAGCGUUGUCCGGAUUUAUUGGGCGUAAAGGGCUUGUAGGUGGUUUGUCGCGUCUGUCGUGAAAUCCUGUGGCUUAACCAUGGGCUUGCGGUAGGUACGAGCAGGCGUGAGUGCGGUAGGGGAGACUGGAAUUCCUGGUGUAGCGGUGGAAUGCGCAGAUAUCAGGAGGAACACCGGUGGCGAAGGCGGGUCUCUGGGCCGUUACUGACACUGAGGAGCGAAAGCGUGGGGAGCGAACAGG